GUGCUUAACACAUGCAAGUCGAACUUAAAGGCCCUGCUUUUGUGGGGUGCUCGAGUGGCGAACGGGUGAGUAACACGUGAGUAACCUGCCCUUGACUUUGGGAUAACUUCAGGAAACUGGGGCUAAUACCGGAUAGGAGCUCCUGCUGCAUGGUGGGGGUUGGAAAGUUUCGGCGGUUGGGGAUGGACUCGCGGCUUAUCAGCUUGUUGGUGGGGUAGUGGCUUACCAAGGCUUUGACGGGUAGCCGGCCUGAGAGGGUGACCGGCCACAUUGGGACUGAGAUACGGCCCAGACUCCUACGGGAGGCAGCAGUGGGGAAUAUUGCACAAUGGGCGGAAGCCUGAUGCAGCAACGCCGCGUGCGGGAUGACGGCCUUCGGGUUGUAAACCGCUUUCGCCUGUGACGAAGCAUGAGUGACGGUAAUGGGUAAAGAAGCACCGGCUAACUACGUGCCAGCAGCCGCGGUGAUACGUAGGGUGCGAGCGUUGUCCGGAUUUAUUGGGCGUAAAGGGCUCGUAGGUGGUUGAUCGCGUCGGAAGUGUAAUCUUGGGGCUUAACCCUGAGCGUGCUUUCGAUACGGGUUGACUUGAGGAAGGUAGGGGAGAAUGGAAUUCCUGGUGGAGCGGUGGAAUGCGCAGAUAUCAGGAGGGACACCAGUGGCGAAGGCGGUUCUCUGGGCCUUUUCCUGACGCUGAGGAGCGGAAGCGUGGGGAGCGAACAGGCUUAGAUACCCUGGUAGUCCACGCUGUAAACGGUGGGUACUAGGUGUGGGGUCCAUUCCACGGGUUCCGUGCCGUAGCUAACGCUUUAAGUACCCCGCCUGGGGAGUACGGCCGCAAGGCUAAAACUCAAAGGAAUUGACGGGGCCCCGCACAAGCGGCGGAGCAUGCGGAUUAAUUCGAUGCAACGCGUAGAACCUUACCUGGGUUUGACAUGGAUCGGGAGUGCUCAGAGAUGGGUGUGCCUCUUUUGGGGUCGGUUCACAGGUGGUGCAUGGCUGUCGUCAGCUCGUGUCGUGAGAUGUUGGGUUAAGUCCCGCAACGAGCGCAACCCUUGUUCACUGUUGCCAGCACGUUAUGGUGGGGACUCAGUGGAGACCGCCGGGGUCAACUCGGAGGAAGGUGGGGAUGACGUCAAGUCAUCAUGCCCCUUAUGUCCAGGGCUUCACGCAUGCUACAAUGGCUGGUACAGAGAGUGGCGAGCCUGUGAGGGUGAGCGAAUCUCGGAAAGCCGGUCUCAGUUCGGAUUGGGGUCUGCAACUCGACCUCAUGAAGUCGGAGUCGCUAGUAAUCGCAGAUCAGCAACGCUGCGGUGAAUACGUUCCCGGGGCUUGUACACACCGCCCGUCAAGUCAUGAAAGUUGGUAACACCCGAAGCCGGUGGCCUAACCGUUGUGGGGGAGCCGUCGAAGGUGGGACUGGUGAUUAGGACU
RNAcentral lists this ribosomal RNA (1432 nucleotides) under uncultured organism. Its description in RNAcentral is "partial small subunit ribosomal RNA". It matches the Rfam family "Bacterial small subunit ribosomal RNA". The record is from RNAcentral.